GUCGGGAUAGCUCAGCUGGUAGANCAAAGGACUGAAAAUCCUCGUUU
RNAcentral lists this transfer RNA (47 nucleotides) under Ebenopsis ebano. RNAcentral describes it as "partial tRNA-Phe". Lineage: Eukaryota; Viridiplantae; Streptophyta; Magnoliopsida; Fabales; Fabaceae. The record is from RNAcentral.